UUAGCCGCGCCCGCGGCCCCUCCCACGUGACCGUCCCGCGCCGAGCAUCCUGGGACUUGUAGUUUUCUGGAGGCAGCAGAGCCCGGAAAGCCUGAGGCCGGGGGCGGCCGAGACCGCAAUUCCCGUCACGGAGUGCGUCCUCUAGCGCGGGGCGGAAGACCCGCGAAGUGUUCAAGCGGCCGCAGAGCGGCCCAGAGUUCGCAGGUCUGGGGCUCUCUUCCCAGAGAGCUCGUAGGGGAGGACAGUCAAGGGACUCAAGCGUCUCUCUUGACUCCCCUUCUCUCGCUGUGCAGUGGCGGCGCCGAGGGGUCGACGCUCAGGGCUAAUCUCUAUGAGUCACCCUCGAGGCCCCGGGUAAUAUUGGGUGGAUCACAAGAACUAAUCUUUCAUGAUUUGGAAACCGGAAGGAAAGAAGCACUUUUGUAGCUGACUUACCUCAAUGACAUGACCAGUGUCUGAGCCUACAACUGCGCUAUCUUCCCUGGAUUUUUCUUCACCUUUUCCUUACUCAUGAGCCAGUUAAGUGAAGUUGAACCUAACCCUAGCCGAAAGAGCACUGUUGUCUGAAUGCAACCGCAGGACACUGAGAAGCUGGAUAAGCACUCUCUUAGUGCUCUGUGUUGGAUUUGUGUAUGGCUUGGAUCACACUCCCUACCCUAACCUUGAUUCCAGAGAGUUGGGCCAGCUCAGGGUGGGGUGUAGGAGGAUACACUGUAUACACUCUGACAGUAUAUGUGUCUCCUCAACAUUCAGAGGCCACAUGGCAGGGCAGAUGUCCAUUAACUAUCUUGGGCUUAUCACAUCUCUUUAAUAAACAACAGUGGGGACAGAUAGUGCCCUACAGGCAUAUUACAGGGAAGACUUGAUGAAAUUUAGCAUUGUUUAUUGUCUGUCUUACAAACAAUGCACUUAGAUUUUUACCAUGAAACUAGCAGUAGAGUCCCUGAAGCUCAAGUUUAAAAAGCCUCAAGUCAAACGAUAUAUAUAUAUAUAUUUGUAAUUUUGUUAUGUGUUGGAGAGUUGACAUCAGCUGGCAUAUAUGACUGUCCAUACCAGCUGUUAUAUUAUUAAAAUAAUUUCGGCCGGGCACGGUGGUUCAUGCCUGUAAUCCCAGCACUUUGGGAGGCCAAGGCGGGCAGAUCACGAGGUCAGGAGAUCGAGACUAUCCUGGCUAACACGGUGAAACCCCGUCUCUACUAAAAAUACAAAAAAUUAGCUGGGCGUGGUGGCAGGUGCCUGUACUCCUAACUAAUCAGGAGGCUGAGGCAGGAGAAUGGUGUGAACCUGGGAGGCGGAGCUUGCAGUGAGCUGAGAUCGCACCACUGCAUUCCAGCCUGGGCAACAGAGCAAGACUCUGUCUAAAAAAAAAUAAUAAAAUAAUAAUAAUUUUAUACUGAUUGGGAAAUAGCUAUUGUUCAACCUCCCCAACACCAGGCUCCUCCCUUUGGGCCUUCUAGACCCCUACAUGAACCAGCAAGUAAGAGGUGAAUGCUUGACAGCAGGGAUCUUCCUGGAUUUAGUCACUACCCAUUUGCAAAGUUAGGCAUUUGAGCCUAUGGUGUUGUUGACAAAAAGAGUCAAACUCUAUAAAAUAUUUGAAGAGAUUUAAACUGAGCCAAAUAUAAGUGGCCAUGGCCCAUGACUCAGCUUUCAGGAGAUCCUGAGAACAUGUGCCCAAAGUGGUCAGGGGUGCAGCCUGGUUUUAUACAUCUUAGGGACAUGUGAGACAUCAAUGAAAUACAUUUAAGGUAUAUGUUGGAUUGCUGUAGACUUAGAGAAGGAAUUAUAGAUGCUUUUAUGCAUUUUGUUUAGCUCAGAGUUUCUUGAGAGUUAAGAGGGGAAGAAAAGAAAUAAAUGGAUUUUAGAAUGUAAGACUGACUUUGGAAGAGAAUCUAUAGUUGGAUAAUAAAACUAGGUGUUGAAAGGGAAGUAUUGAUCAGAGGAGGAUCCAGAAAGGCAGGGCAACUCGAAGUGGAGGUGGGGUGUGGAAUGGGGUGGGGCUUUUAAGUUAUAGGUAGAUUAAAAAUUUUUUGGGUUGGCAACUGGUUGAAAAAGUUAUUGUCAAUAGAAAGGAAUAUCUGGGUUAAGAUAAGAGGUUGUGGAGACUAAAGUUUUAUCAUGCAGAUGAAGCUUCCAGGUAGCAGGCUUCAGAGAGAAUAAAUUGUAACUGUUUAUCAGACUUAAGGUCCUGUUAAUGUUAAAUGCUGGUUGGCUUUUCCUGAAUUCAAAAGGGAGGAGGACAUAAUGAGGCAUGUCUGAUCCCCUCUCCAGCCCCUGAAUCAUGGCCUGAACCAGUCUUUCAGAUUAAAUUUAGAGGACCCUGGCCUAGAGGAGGAAGUCUAUUCACAUAGUUGUGGGGCAUUCACAUUUUAUUCCUGGAUUAUAGUGUCAUUAUCCCAGCAGUAAGUUACUGCCGUCCAAUAUUUAUCCGUAGUUUGAUUGAAACAGUAUACAGGGGAUAUCGCUCCAGGCAGUUUAUAGUUCACCCCUGGAUCAAAUCAGAUCCACAGAGAAACUGAGAAUGUGUAUUGCAUUUCAAUUAGCCUCUGCUACCCCUUGUCACCCUGAGAACUGGUCUUGCUGAAUUGUCAUGCAAUCAGCAUGACAAUGUGAUGUCAUCAGUCUGUGCUGUCAACAGCCUGGGCUGAGAGACAGGGAGGGAAACAGCACAAAUGACACUCAUUGUCAUCUGUCUUUUAGGAAUGUUGUCAAGGAUGUGUUUUUUUUAUAUCAUGGUUUCUAUUUAUGAGGAUACUCAGAGAACUGCCUAACUGCUUUUCGAUGUAAGAACAAUUGUAUUACUCCUGAGAAACUGUUCUCUUUUUAACUUUACAAAUCUCUUUGUAAGUGUCUAGUUUUCCCUUCUCCUUGUUUUUGUAGGUAGACUUACAUCUAUUCUGGUAUGAAGCAGAGAAUAAAUAAAUAAAUUAAGUUAAAUUAAAUGAAUCAUAUCAUAUUUAAAUGAAAUUAUGAAAAAACUCAAAGCCCAUGAUCAAAGAAACCUAAAUACGUAAGCAUUUCGCAUUUUUUUCCUCAGUGGAAUUUCAGUAUUAACUUAUCACAAUUAUACUAAUUAUGAUACUCAAUUUUAAAAGCUCUGGAAUGAAAAUAAUAACUAACUGAAGAGAAUAUUCUCUUUAAAUUCAUAUGUUCACAGACAUAUAAGCUCUUUUUUAUUACCAUAUUUUUACAGAUAAACACUUCAGCACAGUCAAGGCCUUGCACAAUUAAAUUUGGAAACUUUGCUUCAAUUCUAAGGGAGGCACAGUAUGAAUGUUUUUGCAGGCUUUGUCCUAAUUUUCCUUUGAAUAAACACGGGGAGAGUCUGUUCUCCAUAAUUUUCAUAAACAUGUAAUCUGGACAUACCCAAGUACUAUGUCUUCUGGGAUUUUCUUUCCAUUUUCUCCUUCUGUUGAUAAAUGGAUUCCACCAGGCACGGUGGCUCUUGCCUGUAAUCCCAGCACUUUGGGAUGCCAAGGCAGGAGGAUUGCUUGAGCCCAGGAGUUUGAGACCAGCCUGGGCAACAAAGUGAGACUUGUGAUUCCCAAUAAGUAAAAACAUUAGCCAGAUGUGGUGAAUCACAUGCCUGUAGUCCCACCUACUCAGGAGGCUGAGGCAGGAGGAUUGUUUGAGCCCAAGAGGAGCUGUGAUUAUGCUACUGCACUCCAGCCUGGCAACACAGCAAGACCCUGUCUCAAACAAAAAAGAAAAGAAAACAAACGGAUUCAAAUCUCGUCCCAUGUAACUCUGGAAUGUCCUGUUCGCUCUCUAAGAUUAUCAAAGAUUCCCAAGAGGGUUGCAUUCUCCUGGUUAUCUCCUACUGAUAGCAGCAGGAGACAGCCAAAUUCCUAGGCAGACAGGGGCAGGUCCUUGGUGAAACCUGAUGUUCAAGGCAAAGACAGCUUAGAGCCUGAAAACUGGGCUGCCAGUUCCAGGUUGGGUCCUCAACCCGAAGUGAGAACUUUCUUGAUACUAUUUAGCUAAUUGAAUGGUGCUUUUUCCAGGCCAGUCCGUGGACCACUCAGCACACACUCCCCUAUUCUGAGCCCAUAAAAACCCCAGACUCAGCGACAUGUCGGAACUACCUGCCUUUGGGUAGGGGCUACCCACUUAAGGUCCCCUCUGGUGUUAGCAGCUGUUUUGUCACUCAAUAAAACUCUUCUCCACCUUGCUCACGCUCUGGUUGUCCACAUAACCUCAUUCCUCUUGGACACAGGACAUGAACCUGGAGCCUGCCCGGAUGCGAAAGGAGCUGUAACACUGAAUCCCUCUCACCCUAUGCCAGUGCUGGAUGGCUGUCCCAUGUGAUGGGAAGUGGUGGUGGGGCCAGGCCAGCCCAGGAGCCAUCAUGGGCCAGAGUGGGGCAGCAGGACCAAACAAGCUAUAACACAAAUAAGCUGAAACAUGUUCCUGGCUGGCCUGCCAAGCUGCCAGCAGUGACAUGUUCCCAUUCGCCAGACUACAAGACAAGAGAGCUGUGACCCUUCUGGGGACCCAGACCUCGGGACUCCCUGAGUCAGAGCUGUGACAUGCUGUAACACCCCCUUGGGGCUCUGUGGUUGCUGGUGUCUCUGAGUUUUUGGGCACCACUGCAUUCCCCCUGUCCAGAUGCUGCUGCCUGGCCCAGCUACAGCCCCUCACAAAACUCACGCCUGUGCUGGUGCCUGGAGCUGCCCACCCCACUGCAGCAGCUGGCACACCUGGCUGUGCAUCAUGGCUGGACCCUACACUUGCUCACUCACACACCCCUUGCCAUUCUGUGCCUGGCUUGUCCACAGUGGGCAUGGGAUCUGGGCCAGUAGCGCAAGCUCAGUACAGCCUGCCAGGCCGAGUGGGUGGAGCCAGCUCAGCAGUCAAAAGUGAAACUCAGGCAGAGGCACCACUGGCCACAGAGGUUACCGAAAGAAUCGUGUGUCACUACUGUUAGCGGUGCCUAAUUUAUACAGGUCUGCAGCAACUUCAGUUCUUGCCUUCUAAGAAGAGAGAAUUCAACUGAGGUGGGUCAUAAGGCAGAGUCAGAGACUGAGGCAAGUUUUAAGCAGGAAUGAAAGUUUAUUAAAAAGUUUUAAGUAGGAAUGAGAGGAAGUAAAGUACACUUGGAAGAGGGCCAAGCAGGUGAUGUGAGAGAGUCAAGUGCCCAGUUUGACCUUUGACUUACAGUUUUGUAUGUUCCAGCAUCUUCUGUCCCUUCUCACCUGAUUCUUCCUUUGAAGUGGGCUGUCUGCAUGCACAGUGGCCUGCUAGCACAUGGGAGGGACCACAGGCACAGUGAGUUUACUGGAGUUGUAUGCAUGCUCAGGUGAGGCAUUCUUCCCUUACCAGUUGAGUGUUCCUAGAGGAAGGUCAUAUACCAGUUAAACUCUGCCAUUUUGGCUCUUAACGCACAUGCUUGAGACCACUCACCCAAUUCCUGAGAUCUUAUCGGAAAGCUGCUGAUCACCAGUUUCAGUUUUUUCCAUCUAUUGGGAGACUGCCUUUCUCUGGUGCCGGCUGCGACCCAUUAGUAUUUUGGAGAGACAGUUAACUACCUGACUAUCACCUGAUGGUUGCCUAAUGUUAGUAGGGGGGCAUCUCUCCUACCCUGCUCAUGUCUGCCUGACUACCUAAUGUAACACUACUUUAAAUUAUUAUUCUGGUUGAUUUCUUAGCCCCAAAGAUGAAUCAUCCCUCCUCCUUUCUUAUUUCCCAAAACAUUACUAACACAGGGUUAUUUUGUGUAGUACUUUUUAAAAAAUUAGAGAUAACCUAAGAGGCCACAGCACUGCACAAAAUGGGGAUCACCUUAAAGUUCAGUGUUAGGCAGCAUUGCCCCUGGCUAUUUCCAUCAUAAGUAAACAGCCUUCUUUCUCCAGAGCCCCCUCCUGCUGGCUUGUUGCUGGCCCCUCCUCUUCUUCUUGUUUAUUGUACAACAAAACCGCACAGGCAAAGCUUAAAAUUUGCUGGUACUUUAACUUGCAGAGAAAUUUAACUGCUUCCCUCAACCUCCUGCCCAUAUCAGAAUAGAGGCCUUUGUAUGCUAGAGUUUCCAAUACCAAAUAAUGGCAACAAUAAUAAAUAGUGACAACAUUUUACAUUAUAUAUUACUUUAAGUUAUAGCAAAGCAAAUUUUGAGUAGGGCUCUCUCCCCACCAGCAAGAUUCUUGGGAUCUUAUCGUUUGUGGGGAGGAAUCUGGAAACUGUAUUAUAAUAGACACCCUUUUAUCUGAUAUUAUUGAAUUGUUAGUAGGGUAACUAUUAACAAUUAAUUGAAAAGUCAGUUAAUACAAAGAUUCAUAAAAUGAUAUGUUUUAUAUUUUAUUAAAAUGUGUAACCUGUUCAUCUUUUGAUGUUGGGCUGAGUUUUCUUUUGAUUACUUAGUAAUUAGAGUUCUAGUGUUUCUUUUUUAUGAAUUCUAGCUAUAAUAUAUUUGAUACAGUGUCUUGUUUUUAUUUAAAAUAAAAUGAGAACUUAAUAUUUUAAAGCAAUCAUUGCAAAAUCCACUUAGAUUUUUACGAUUAUUUUUCACCAAUAUUUAUAUUUAUCUAAUAUCUUAUUUGACCACAGUCCUCUUUAGCAAUUUGCUUUUAGUUUUUCCAAAGUAGUCAAUUUAUGUGUCCUAGAAGUGACAACCAUCUUUUUUUUCAUUCAUUUAAUCAGUUUCAUUAUCUUUUAAUAUGCAGUUACAAUCGGAUGUAAAAUUAGCAUUAACAUCUUUGGG
RNAcentral lists this long non-coding RNA (6697 nucleotides) under Homo sapiens (human). Its description in RNAcentral is "HSALNT0311352". The record is from RNAcentral. Lineage: Eukaryota; Metazoa; Chordata; Mammalia; Primates; Hominidae.